This 408-nucleotide ribosomal RNA is filed under the name uncultured fungus. Its description in RNAcentral is "eukaryotic LSU rRNA". Lineage: Eukaryota; Fungi. The record is from RNAcentral.
AGAGUUAAAUAGUACGUGAAAUUGUUGAAAGGGAAACGAUUGAAGUCAGUCAUGCUAGUGAAAAUUCAGUUUGACGGGUUUUGGGUUUGGGAGUAGAGGCAGGGUCAAACCGUUUCUCUUUUGAACUUGGGAUUUGUCAGAUGCACUUUUUCUCCGGCAGGUCAGCGUCGAUUUCGGAGGUUGUAAAAUACUUGGGGUAAAGUAACUCUGCUUCGGUAGAGUAUUAUAGACCUUGAGGGAUGCAGCUUGCGGGAUCGAGGAUUGCAGCAAAUGCCUUUGGCUUGGCGCCUGAUCUCUGGAUGUUACCUCGCUUGUGACAACAUUCUUGCCUCCGGUGAGUACUAAUGCCCAUUAGGUUAGAACGGAUUAAAUUCGUUAAGGAUGUUGACGUAAUGACUUUAAACGACC